AGAGUUUGAUCCUGGCUCAGGACGAACGCUGGCGGCGUGCUUAACACAUGCAAGUCGAACGAUGAACCACUUCGGUGGGGAUUAGUGGCGAACGGGUGAGUAACACGUGGGCAAUCUGCCCUUCACUCUGGGACAAGCCCUGGAAACGGGGUCUAAUACCGGAUACGACCACUACGGGCAUCCGUGGUGGUGGAAAGCUCCGGCGGUGAAGGAUGAGCCCGCGGCCUAUCAGUCUUGUUGGUGAGGUAAUGGCUCACCAAGGCGACGACGGGUAGCUCGGCCUGAGAGGGCGACCGGCCACACUGGGACUGAGACACGGCCCAGACUCCUACGGGAGGCAGCAGUGGGGAAUAUUGCACAAUGGGCGAAAGCCUGAUGCAGCGACGCCGCGUGAGGGAUGACGGCCUUCGGGUUGUAAACCUCUUUCAGCAGGGAAGAAGCGAAAGUGACGGUACCUGCAGAAGAAGCGCCGGCUUAACUACGUGCCAGCAGCCGCGGUAAUACGUAGGGCGCAAGCGUUGUCCGGAAUUAUUGGGCGUAAAGAGCUCGUAGGCGGCUUGUCACGUCGAUUGUGAAAGCCCGAGGCUUAACCUCGGGUCUGCAGUCGAUACGGGCUAGCUAGAGUGUGGUAGGGGAGAUCGGAAUUCCUGGUGUAGCGGUGAAAUGCGCAGAUAUCAGGAGGAACACCGGUGGCGAAGGCGGAUCUCUGGGCCAUUACUGACGCUGAGGAGCGAAAGCGUGGGGAGCGAACAGGAUUAGAUACCCUGGUAGUCCACGCCGUAAACGGUGGGAACUAGGUGUUGGCGACAUUCCACGUCGUCGGUGCCGCAGCUAACGCAUUAAGUUCCCCGCCUGGGGAGUACGGCCGCAAGGCUAAAACUCAAAGGAAUUGACGGGGGCCCGCACAAGCGGCGGAGCAUGUGGCUUAAUUCGACGCAACGCGAAGAACCUUACCAAGGCUUGACAUACACCGGAAAGCAUUAGAGAUAGUGCCCCCCUUGUGGUCGGUGUACAGGUGGUGCAUGGCUGUCGUCAGCUCGUGUCGUGAGAUGUUGGGUUAAGUCCCGCAACGAGCGCAACCCUUGUUCUGUGUUGCCAGCAUGCCCUUCGGGGUGAUGGGGACUCACAGGAGACCGCCGGGGUCAACUCGGAGGAAGGUGGGGACGACGUCAAGUCAUCAUGCCCCUUAUGUCUUGGGCUGCACACGUGCUACAAUGGCCGGUACAAUGAGCUGCGAUACCGUGAGGUGGAGCGAAUCUCAAAAAGCCGGUCUCAGUUCGGAUUGGGGUCUGCAACUCGACCCCAUGAAGUCGGAGUCGCUAGUAAUCGCAGAUCAGCAUUGCUGCGGUGAAUACGUUCCCGGGCCUUGUACACACCGCCCGUCACGUCACGAAAGUCGGUAACACCCGAAGCCGGUGGCCCAACCCCUUGUGGGAGGGAGCUGUCGAAGGUGGGACUGGCGAUUGGGACGAAGUC
RNAcentral lists this ribosomal RNA (1476 nucleotides) under Streptomyces sp. LC3. RNAcentral describes it as "16S ribosomal RNA". It matches the Rfam family "Bacterial small subunit ribosomal RNA". Lineage: Bacteria; Bacillati; Actinomycetota; Actinomycetes; Kitasatosporales; Streptomycetaceae. The record is from RNAcentral.